UACCGAGGGUGCGAGCGUUAAUCGGAAUUACUGGGCGUAAAGCGUGCGUAGACGGUCGUGUAAGUCGGAUGUGAAAUCCCCGGGCUCAACCUGGGAAUUGCAUUCGAGACUGCACGGCUGGGGUGCGGAAGAGGGAAGCGGAAUUUCCGGUGUAGCGGUGAAAUGCGUAGAUAUCGGAAGGAACAUCAGUGGCGAAAGCGGCUUCCUGGUCCAGCACCGACGUUCAGGCACGAAAGCGUGGGGAGCAAACAGG
Molecule: ribosomal RNA, 253 nt
Filed under: uncultured bacterium
Lineage: Bacteria
Description: partial 16S ribosomal RNA
Rfam family: Bacterial small subunit ribosomal RNA
Source: RNAcentral